This 466-nucleotide ribosomal RNA is filed under the name uncultured bacterium. RNAcentral's name for it is "partial 16S ribosomal RNA". It matches the Rfam family "Bacterial small subunit ribosomal RNA", at positions 28 to 507 of the family's 1533-position model. The record is from RNAcentral.
GAUGAACGCUGGCGGCGUGCUUAACACAUGCAAGUCGAACGAUGAAGCCCAGCUUGCUGGGUGGGUUAGUGGCGAACGGGUGAGUAACACGUGAGUAACCUGCCCUUAACUCUGGGAUAAGCCUGGGAAACUGUGUCUAAUACCGGAUAGGAGCGUCCACCGCAUGGGGGGUGUUGGAAAGAUUUAUCGGUGUUGGAUGGACUCGCGGCCUAUCAGCUUGUUGGUGAGGUAGUGGCUCACCAAGGCGACGACGGGUAGCCGGCCUGAGAGGGUGACCGGCCACACUGGGACUGAGACACGGCCCAGACUCCUACGGGAGGCAGCAGUGGGGAAUAUUGCACAAUGGGCGCAAGCCUGAUGCAGCGACGCCGCGUGAGGGAUGACGGCCUUCGGGUUGUAAACCUCUUUCAGUAGGGAAGAAGCGAAAGUGACGGUACCUGCAGAAGAAGCACCGGCUAACUACGUG